CGGCUGCCGUGGCUGAGGCUCAUGGAUCACUCUUUUGUGGUAGGGCCACAUCUGCCAGAGCCUGGAGUCUGCGAAGGCCGGGACCCGGUUCCCCGGCCCACCGUGGGGGGGGUGUGCAAACCCGAGAGAACUGGGAAGUGCCGUCAGAAGCGAUAACUGACGACGUCUAAUGUCUAUCUGACCGCAGUCGCUGAAACCUCUACAACUUAGU
Molecule: long non-coding RNA, 211 nt
Organism: Pan troglodytes (chimpanzee)
Lineage: Eukaryota; Metazoa; Chordata; Mammalia; Primates; Hominidae
Exons: 2
Source: RefSeq, a predicted model, not a curated record